GACGAACGCUGGCGGCGCGCCUAACACAUGCAAGUCGAACGGUAACAGGCCUUCGGACGCUGACGAGUGGCGAACGGGUGAGUAAUACAUCGGAACGUGCCCAGUCGUGGGGGAUAACUACUCGAAAGAGUAGCUAAUACCGCAUACGAUCUGAGGAUGAAAGCGGGGGACCUUCGGGCCUCGCGCGAUUGGAGCGGCCGAUGGCAGAUUAGGUAGUUGGUGGGAUAAGGGGCUCACCAAGGCGACGAUCCGUAGCGUGGUUUGAGAGGACGACCAGCCACACUGGGACUGGAGACACGGCCCAG
Molecule: ribosomal RNA, 305 nt
Filed under: uncultured bacterium
Lineage: Bacteria
Description: bacterial SSU rRNA
Rfam family: Bacterial small subunit ribosomal RNA
Source: RNAcentral